This 203-nucleotide long non-coding RNA is filed under the name Vigna radiata. Its description in RNAcentral is "long non-coding RNA (VRAD_LNC013906)". The record is from RNAcentral. Lineage: Eukaryota; Viridiplantae; Streptophyta; Magnoliopsida; Fabales; Fabaceae.
AAAUGCACAGUAAAUGAGAGCACUUACCUCUUACCUUUUACCUGUAUUUAUAGUUUUCGUUAUGGGAUUUAGAUUAGCAAAACCUUAAUCUAGGCCUAAUCACAACCUAACCACUUAUAAACAAUGUUUUACCUUAAUCAAGACUGGGAGUUUGCUUACUGACUAGGACCGACCGGCCUUGACAUAUGAUCACUGUCGUCCGG